GUCUACUGCCGUGCCACCCUGAAUAAGCCCAAUCCCAUCUGAUCUCGGAAGCUAAGCAGGGUCAGGCCUGGGUAGUACAUGGAUGGGAGACCACCUAGGAAGACCAGUUGCUGUAGGCA
This 119-nucleotide ribosomal RNA is filed under the name Pteropus alecto (black flying fox). The record is from RNAcentral. Lineage: Eukaryota; Metazoa; Chordata; Mammalia; Chiroptera; Pteropodidae.